This 222-nucleotide long non-coding RNA is filed under the name Locusta migratoria (migratory locust). Its description in RNAcentral is "partial Lnc45219". The record is from RNAcentral. Lineage: Eukaryota; Metazoa; Arthropoda; Insecta; Orthoptera; Acrididae.
UUCUAUUUUACCAGCAAAUCUUGUGUUAAUGACUGGUUUGAUCUGAAGCUCUGGGCCUAGCAUAUCAGCUGGCAGCAUACCUAUUGAGAGAUUAAAGUAACUUGUGACUUUGAGGCAGUUGUUNNNNNNNGUUGUUGGACAUGGUGCAAUUUCCCAGGUAACAGCAUUAAUGGGCCAUUUUCCUACACUGUGCCACUAACAGCUCUUAAAAUAUAUCUCAAC